GCUCCGGUGGCCUAGUGGUUAUAGCGUCCGACUCUGAUUCGGGAGGUCGUGAGUUCAAUCUGCAGCCGAGUCA
Molecule: non-coding RNA, 73 nt
Organism: Potamilus streckersoni
Lineage: Eukaryota; Metazoa; Mollusca; Bivalvia; Unionida; Unionidae
Source: the annotation of a GenBank genome assembly